This 77-nucleotide transfer RNA is filed under the name Megatherium americanum. RNAcentral describes it as "tRNA-Leu". It matches the Rfam family "tRNA". From Rfam's summary of the family: Transfer RNA (tRNA) molecules are approximately 80 nucleotides in length. The record is from RNAcentral. Lineage: Eukaryota; Metazoa; Chordata; Mammalia; Pilosa; Megatheriidae.
GUUAAGAUGGCAGAGCCCGGUAACUGCAUAAAACUUAAACCUUUAUAAUCAGAGGUUCAACUCCUCUUCUUAACAAA